Non-coding RNA from Gossypium arboreum, 107 nucleotides. NCBI's taxonomy places the organism in Eukaryota, Viridiplantae, Streptophyta, Magnoliopsida, Malvales, Malvaceae. The record is from Rfam.
AGUCCAUGGUGAGAACACCUUCUCAACAAAUCCUUAAAUCUCUCUCAUGUAUCAUAAAGAGUCUCAAUAUCAUUUUGAACAAAAGAAAAGAUAUCAUUCUUGAACUU